GUCAACCCCCCUCCCUUCUUCUCUCUCUCUCUUAUUCAUCAUUCUCUUCUCUACUUCUUCUUCUCCUGCUUUCUUUCACUUUGCUUUUUCCGCAAAACAAUGAGAGAUCAAAUAUAGUCUCUUCAAAUCCCAAGAAACAACCGUCUGUUUAUCUAUAUAUCAAUCUGCUUUUUUCUUUCCCCUUUGAAUUUGAUGGGUAACGGCGUUGCCAAAGUCAGCCACUGUUGUGCUGCUGCAGGGGACAUCUCCAAUCGGCAUGACAUCGCCGUUUAUGUCGGCGACCACCUCCACAAGGGACUGGGUCAUUCCUUCUGUUAUAUACAGUCCGACCCAGCUCUCUUAUCCAACUCAAAAAUCCACUCCGAGGAAACGACAACGUUUUUCUCUAUCUCCGGUGCCUCUGUAAGCGCUAAUACUUCAACGUCUCUCAGCGAUGCUUGUCUCUACAGCUCUAGUUUGGAUGAGGCCUCCUCUUUUGAAAGCUCCGAUUCUUUCGCUUCCGUCCCUCUUCAGCCCGUCCCUCGUGGGCAGCUUCAAUCCGGCUCUGCUAUGCUCGUACCGGGUUCGAGUCCAAUUGAACGAGGGUUUUUAUCGGGUCCCAUCGAGCGUGGGUUUCUUUCGGGACCCAUUGAACGUGGGUUUGUGUCGGCACCUAUUGAUCGGGGCUUAUAUUCCGGUCUGAUGGAGAAAGAAAAAGAAAGGGAAAACGGCGGCAAGUUACAGAGGAGUUUCUCUCAUGGGGGUAUUGGUAUUGACGAUGUCCAAGUUAAAACCAAGAAGCAAAGCUUGAUAAAGACUUUAAAGAGAGCAAUAUCGAACACCAUCUCUCGAGGGAAAAAAUCUAUAAUGGCACCGAUCAAAGGUGUUAAAGAAUCAGUUUCAGCUGGAACUGGCGAAAACUUGAGCGGUAGCAGUGCUAAUUUCAGUGCCCAGGCGAGCUCCAAUAAUGAUGUUGAUGAUGAUAGUUUGUUUUCAAUGGAAAGCCAGAAUCUGCAAUGGGCACAAGGGAAAGCAGGUGAGGAUCGAGUUCAUAUAGUAAUAUCAGAGGAACAUGGAUGGGUUUUUGUGGGAAUUUAUGAUGGCUUUAAUGGCCCUGAUGCUCCUGAUUAUUUGCUUUCCAAUCUCUAUACUAAUGUUAAUGAGGAGCUCAAAGGAUUGUUAUGGAUGGACAAGUUUGAAUCCGCUUCAAAAACAGAGGAAACAAAGGAGGCAUCACCUUCGAUUGACAAGGAAAAUCAUCCAUUUGGCACUAGAGAUGAGGAUUUCGACUUAAAUCAUUACUUGAAGAGAACCCAGGGAAAGAAUUCGAGGCAUAGGAGUAAAGGCGCAGCAAAAAGAUGGGAGGAGAGCCAGAGGAGGUGGAGGUGUGAAUGGGACAGAGAAAGAAUGGAACUUGAUAGGAAAUUAAAAGAGAAACUGAAUUGUAAAGGGUCCAACUCUAAUGGGGUUAACCAUUUCGAUGUUUUGAACGCACUUUCCCAGGCAUUGAAGAAGACUGAGGAGUCCUUCUUUGAAAUUGCUGAUAAGAUGGCAGCAGAGAAACCUGAGUUAUCUUUGAUGGGUUCUUGUGUUUUGGUGAUGCUGAUGAAAGGAGAAGAUGUUUACUUGAUGAAUGUUGGAGAUAGCCGAGCUGUUUUGGCACAGAAAUGUGAAACAGAUCUUGGAAUAGGGAAAGUAAACCAGGAUUUGGAAAUCAUCAAUGAGGAAAGUAUGCGUGAUCUGGAAGUCUUUGAUGGUGAUGAAUUAUACAGAUUGAGUAGCUUGAGUUACCUUCAGCUUACCCUGGAUCAUAGCACUUACGUGCAUAAGGAAGUUCAGAGAAUUAAAAAGGAACAUCCUGACGAUCCUUGUGCAGUAAUGAAUGAG
RNAcentral lists this unclassified non-coding RNA (1866 nucleotides) under Hevea brasiliensis (rubber tree). The record is from RNAcentral. Lineage: Eukaryota; Viridiplantae; Streptophyta; Magnoliopsida; Malpighiales; Euphorbiaceae.